UACUGAGCAGCCUUUACCUCUCUGCGCAGGGCUCCAGGGAGCCAGGGGAGACACUGCCAAGGAAGCUGAAGCA
Molecule: small nucleolar RNA, 73 nt
Organism: Fukomys damarensis (Damara mole-rat)
Lineage: Eukaryota; Metazoa; Chordata; Mammalia; Rodentia; Bathyergidae
Source: Ensembl